CUCAACCCGCACUCCACCCCUGUCGAGACACGGGAGUCAACCACGCCCGCAGCCGCACUCCACCCGCUCUGCGUUCCCUCUCUCUGCUCCGCCGCCGCCCUCCCCUCCACCUUUCCUCGGCUGCGAGUCCGGACGCACCGGAUCCGGUGUCCGCGAGGCCGGACGCGAGGAGGCAGCGCAGAGGACAGGCCACCAGGUCGUCCUCAGGCAGGAGGACAUGCCUGCCGCCGGUUGCCACAGAAUCCUGCUCCGACAAGUUCCCCGAGCGCCCGGUCCAGAUCCCCGGCGACCGUGAUCGUGCCUCUUUCUGCUGGACAAGGCGACAACGAGGGCGCCGGGGAGGAAGAACUUCUCGUCUACCAGGGGAUGCUGCCCGAUCUGCUGCUGCUGUGAGGAGUACCUGAGGCUGAGGAGGAAGAAUGCGCUGCACUUGACGAUCCGGAGACGGAUGAGGAAGAUGAUGCCGCGGAGGAUCCGGAGGCCAAACAUGAACCUGCACUUGAAGAUGCAUCCAUCAAUGGCACGAAGGCGCAUAGGCACAUGAGGAAAAAGAGCUGGCCUGAGGAGUAGCUAGCCCGAGGCGCGGAGGCCGGAGGAGGAGCUGGCGCGGAAGUUGCUGCUCGAAGUCCCGCCAAGAGUUCACGUGCCUGGGGAUCUGGGCGAGAUGCAGAUGAGCAUGGUGCUAGGCGAGCUAGAGAUAUGGGGAGAUGUGAGCUGGGCGAAGGGCUAAAUUGUAAAUUUACAUUGUAUUAAGCGUUGCGACACUUUUUCAGGAUCGGAGGGAGUAUUUUUUUCCCGAGGUGCAUUUCAAAACUUUCUUUUUUUGAGAAUAGAAUGAGAGAUUGCUGACCACCCUCGCCGGGUGGUUAUUCAAAACUAAUUUUAGGUAGUUACAUAUAUAGGGGUUACUUGUAGGCGCCAACAUUAGCCAAUAUGUAUAUAUAUAGGAUCUAGAUCCAUUUGUCCUCCGCCACAUGGCGCUUGUUGCGUCGAUGGCGUUUACUCUAUGAGUAUAUAAGAAUUAUGAGGUGCCACCAUUCUCGAUCUCAAAGUAACGAGCAGGAGAGUGCUCACAAAAAUUGACAUCUAUUGUGAGAAUGGAGUUGCCACGAAAGUUGCGCCCGCUCAUCAUCAUGGCGAUGCUACUGUUGCUCGUGAUGGCUGCGGAAGGCCAUAAACAUUGUCCAGAGGACUUGUGUGAAGGACCAAGUGGCAAGUUCAAAGGUGCAUGUUCACAGGACGACGAAUGCCAAGAAACAUGUGGGGAAGAGGGUUUUCAUACUGGCUUUUGUAAAGUUGGGCCUUUUAAUGGUGCAUGUAAAUGUUGUAAGCCAUGCGUUUUUUAAAUUAUUUCCCACUGCUUCACGGAAGAAUUGCUUCAUGUAAGAAUUUACCUAUUGAAUUUAAUAAAUUGGAGUCUUGUUUCUUCACUACAACACGCUUGCUUCAUGUAA
Aegilops tauschii subsp. strangulata is the source of this 1454-nucleotide long non-coding RNA. RefSeq lists it as uncharacterized. The record is from RefSeq and is a predicted model, not a curated record. Lineage: Eukaryota; Viridiplantae; Streptophyta; Magnoliopsida; Poales; Poaceae.